RNAcentral lists this non-coding RNA (774 nucleotides) under Spodoptera frugiperda (fall armyworm). The record is from RNAcentral. Lineage: Eukaryota; Metazoa; Arthropoda; Insecta; Lepidoptera; Noctuidae.
AGAUAAAAUUUUAUAUUUUAUGGAAUUUAUUUUUAAUUUAUUUUACAUAUAAAUUAUAGUAUUUAAUUUUAAUUAUUUUAAAAAUAAUUAAUAAAUAUUUUGUAGUAAUUAAUAUUAAAAAUUUAAGAAAUUAAGAUUUAGUAAUAUAAAAAUUAGUAACUAAUUUUGUGCCAGCAGUUGCGGUUAAACAAAAGUUAAAUUAAAUUGAUUCAGUUAAUAAUAAAUAAUAAAAUUUUUUAAAAAUAUUAAAUUAUAAGGUGAAAUUUUAAUUUAAUUAAAAUUUAUAAAAGAAAUUAUGAUUUAGUAAAUUUUAUUAUAAACUAGGAUUAGAUACCCUAUUAUUAAAAAUUUAAUUAUAAAUACUAAAAUAGUAAGUAAUAAAUAUUGAAACUUAAAUAAAAUGGCGGUAUUUUAGUUCAUUUAGAGGAAUCUGUCUAGUAAUUGAUAAUCCACGAAUAAAUUUACUUAAUUAAAAAUUUUGUAUAUCAUUGUUAAAAAAAUAUUUUUUAAUAAUAAUAAUAUUUAAAAAUUUAAAAUAAAAAUUAAUUCAGAUCAAGAUGCAGAUUAUAAUUAAGAUUAAGAUGGAUUACAAUAAAUUUAUUUAAACGAAAAUAAUUUUUUAAAAAUAAAAUUGAAGGUGGAUUUAAAUGUAAUUUUAAUUAGUUUAUUAAAAUGAUUAAUAAUUAAAAUAUGUACAUAUUGCCCGUCACUUUCAUUUAAAAAUUGAAAUAAGUCGUAACAAAGUAGAGGUACUGGAAAGUGUUUCUAGAAUGA